RNAcentral lists this ribosomal RNA (886 nucleotides) under uncultured bacterium. RNAcentral's name for it is "bacterial SSU rRNA". It matches the Rfam family "Bacterial small subunit ribosomal RNA", at positions 98 to 983 of the family's 1533-position model. The record is from RNAcentral.
GCAAACGGGUGCGGAACACGUACACAACCUUCCUUUUAGUGGAGAAUAGCCCAGGGAAACUUGGAUUAAUACUCCGUAACAUAUAGAAGCGGCAUCGCUUUUAUAUUAUAGCAGCAAUGCGCUAGAAGAUGGGUGUGCGGCUGAUUAGAUAGUUGGCGGGGUAACGGCCCACCAAGUCGACGAUCAGUAACUGGUGUGAGAGCACGACCAGUCACACGGGCACUGAGACACGGGCCCGACUCCUACGGGAGGCAGCAGUAAGGAAUAUUGGUCAAUGGACGCAAGUCUGAACCAGCCAUGCCGCGUGGAGGAUGAAGGUCCUCUGGAUUGUAAACUUCUUUUAUCUGGGAAGAAAUCCAUUUUUUCUAAAAUGGUUGACGGUACCAGAUGAAUAAGCACCGGCUAACUCCGUGCCAGCAGCCGCGGUAAUACGGAGGGUGCAAGCGCUAUCCGGAUUCACUGGGUUUAAAGGGUGCGUAGGUGGGUAAGUAAGUCAGUGGUGAAAUCUCCGGGCUUAACCCGGAAACUGCCAUUGAUACUAUUUGUCUUGAAUACUGUGGAGGUCAGCGGAAUAUGUCAUGUAGCGGUGAAAUGCUUAGAUAUGACAUAGAACACCAAUUGCGAAGGCAGCUGGCUACACAAAUAUUGACACUGAGGCACGAAAGCGUGGGGAUCAAACAGGAUUAGAUACCCUGGUAGUCCACGCCCUAAACUAUGGAUACUCGACAUUUGCGAUAAACUGCAAGUGUCUGAGCGAAAGCAUUAAGUAUCCCACCUGGGAAGUACGAUCGCAAGAUUGAAACUCAAAGGAAUUGGCGGGGGUCCGCACAAGCGGUGGAGCAUGUGGUUUAAUUCGAUGAUACGCGAGGAACCUUACCUGGGCUAG